UUGGAGGGCAAGUCUGGUGCCAGCAGCCGCGGUAAUUCCAGCUCCAAUAGCGUAUAUUAAAGUUGUUGCAGUUAAAAAGCUCGUAGUUGAAUUUCGGGGUUAGUAGGUUGGUCAUGCCUCUGGUAUGUACUGGUCUCACUGAUUCCUCCUUCCCGAUGAACCUUAAUGCCAUUUAUUUGGUGUUUUGGGGAAUUUGGACUGUUACUUUGAAAAAAUUAGAGUGUUUAAAGCAAGCUAACGCUUGAAUACAUUAGCAUGGAAUAAUGAAAUAGGACGUUCGAUCCUAUUUUGUUGGUUUCUAGGAUUGACGUAAUGAUUAAUAGGGAUAGUUGGGGGCAUUAGUAUUCAAUUGUCAGAGGUGAAAUUCUUGGAUUUAUUGAAGACUAACUACUGCGAAAGCAUUUGCCAAGGAUGUUUUCAUUAAUCAAGAACGAAAGUUAGGGGAUCGAAGACGAUCAGAUACCGUCGUAGUCUUAACCAUAAACUAUGCCGACUAGGGAUCGGAUGAUGUUAAUUUUUUAAUGACUCAUUCGGCGCCUUACGGGAAAC
This 549-nucleotide ribosomal RNA is filed under the name uncultured Glomeromycotina. RNAcentral describes it as "SSU rRNA". It matches the Rfam family "Eukaryotic small subunit ribosomal RNA", at positions 548 to 1098 of the family's 1831-position model. Lineage: Eukaryota; Fungi; Glomeromycota. The record is from RNAcentral.